UAAUACAAAGCUUCCUGUAAAUUACCCCCAGCAGUUCAAACUAAAUAAUCUAUCUGAAGCUAAGCAUGUUUGGGCCUGUCCAGUUCUUGGAUGGGAGACCAGCUAGGAAAGCUGGGUUGGUGUGGC
This 126-nucleotide ribosomal RNA is filed under the name Paramormyrops kingsleyae. Lineage: Eukaryota; Metazoa; Chordata; Actinopteri; Osteoglossiformes; Mormyridae. The record is from RNAcentral.